CGUUCGGCGGAAGCGUCGUUCG
This 22-nucleotide small RNA is filed under the name Arabidopsis thaliana (thale cress). Its description in RNAcentral is "Ath_wt_15940". The record is from RNAcentral. Lineage: Eukaryota; Viridiplantae; Streptophyta; Magnoliopsida; Brassicales; Brassicaceae.